CCGUCAUCUUUGCGCCUCUCGUACAAAACACUCUUUUAGGGUUUGCUCUAAACCUUCCUCGAGCUAACUCAAACCCAGCUCCUACUCCGCCUCUUUGGCCAUUCUUAGGACCGUCGUGUUCAUUAUGUUCGUGUUGGAGUGUUCCGCUAACUUGUUUUCCAGAUGCGAGAACCCCUAUCAGUAGUAAUGGUAAUAGGGAUGUUGCAGCUUGAUGGAUUGGAUGGAUAUUGGGCCCACUGUGGGGCCCAUCACUGAAGAAUUUUAUUAUUUACGUUUCCCUUUUCCGAAUAAUACCUAGUUUAAUUAUUUUUUUUCCAGAGUAUUUCUGCUUGGACAGUGUGGAGUCCUUUUUUUUUUUGUAAUCUGGGUAUAUCUGACGUAUGAUAUACCCUUAUAUCUUAAACUCCAUAGUCUCUUAAUAUUCAUAUAUGUGAUGUUUUA
Molecule: long non-coding RNA, 441 nt
Organism: Vigna unguiculata (cowpea)
Lineage: Eukaryota; Viridiplantae; Streptophyta; Magnoliopsida; Fabales; Fabaceae
Source: RefSeq, a predicted model, not a curated record